RNAcentral lists this unclassified non-coding RNA (90 nucleotides) under Pseudomonas migulae. Lineage: Bacteria; Pseudomonadati; Pseudomonadota; Gammaproteobacteria; Pseudomonadales; Pseudomonadaceae. The record is from RNAcentral.
UGUGGGAGCGGGCUUGCUCGCGAUAGCGGUGUGUCAGACGACAUCAAUGUUGAAUGACACACUGCUAUCGCGAGCAAGCCCGCUCCCACA